Molecule: ribosomal RNA, 410 nt
Filed under: uncultured bacterium
Lineage: Bacteria
Description: bacterial SSU rRNA
Rfam family: Bacterial small subunit ribosomal RNA
Source: RNAcentral
CAGCAGCCGCGGUAAUACGUAGGGUGCAAGCGUUGUCCGGAAUUAUUGGGCGUAAAGAGCUCGUAGGCGGUCUGUUACGUCGGCUGUGAAAACCUGGGGCUCAACUCCGGGCCUGCAACCGAUACGGGCAGACUAGAGUUCGGCAGGGGAGACUGGAAUUCCUGGUGUAGCGGUGAAAUGCGCAGAUAUCAGGAGGAACACCGGUGGCGAAGGCGGGUCUCUGGGCAGUAACUGACGCUGAGGAGCGAAAGCGUGGGGAGCGAACAGGAUUAGAUACCCUGGUAGUCCACGCCGUAAACGUUGGGCGCUAGGUGUGGGGCUCAUUCCACGAGUUCCGUGCCGCAGCUAACGCAUUAAGCGCCCCGCCUGGGGAGUACGGCCGCAAGGCUAAAACUCAAAGGAAUUGACGG